Long non-coding RNA from Marmota monax (woodchuck), 3462 nucleotides. RefSeq lists it as uncharacterized. The transcript has 2 exons. The record is from RefSeq and is a predicted model, not a curated record. NCBI's taxonomy places the organism in Eukaryota, Metazoa, Chordata, Mammalia, Rodentia, Sciuridae.
GGGCAGCAACCCUCCAACCACAGAUGCUAGAAGGGCAGGCGGGCCCUGGACACUGAGCAGACCAGGUCCCCUCUCAGCCUCCAGGUCUCAGGAGGGCUCCUGCACUGUCACUGCCCACUCCUCCUCACCUCUGCCCCCAAAAGACACAGGAAGAGCCCUUAAGAAAAAUCAAGAGGUCUCCUCCCCAGACUCCAGAGCCUUGUACUCAGAGGGUCACAAAUACGAGGCAUGGAGAGGAAGAGGGGCUUGCAGAAAGGUCAGGCUGGCAUCAGGCUGGGAAGGCUCCAAUGGAAAGGAAGGAGUCAAAGGGAACACUGACGGCAGCGGCGAGAGGGUCAGCCGUGUGGGCUCCGGGUCAGCUUGCCCGACUCUUGCAACUGGAGGUAAGUAUGAGCACCCUCCUCUGCAGAGGUGGGACUCAGGGAACAGCUGGCAGAGGCCAGGGCGCUCACCCACAGCCUAGCAUCCUUACAAGAGGCGGUGAGAGUUGUCAGCCUGCUCAGCCCCACACACUGGAUGCUUCUGCAGGCCCUGAUGGGCGCCCCCUGCAGCCUGGUACUCUCUCAACUGGCCUGCCUCACAGCAGGACCUUUUGCAUGAGGCCUCUGCUGAAGAAGAGCUGUCUCAGUGGGGGUUGUCCUAACCAGAGACCCUGGUUGCCCUGUGGCUAAAGCCCAAGAGUGCUGGACGGGCACAGGCCCAGCCCAGAGCCCAACACACGAUGAGGCCACGCCCACAUGGAUGGGAGUGCCAUUGUGUACCACCCUGGGACAAGUGCACUCACCUUCUUCCAGGUCAUUUCGGGCAGCAGCUUCCAGAAGGACAACGCUGGGAGGGAAGACAACUUGCUUCGGGGGCCCUCGGCCAGCUGCCUCCUUCUGCAGCUGCCUCCACUUGCCUUUUUUGGCCUGGGCCUCCUUCUCAGCCUGGGCCCAGAUCUUCACCUGCUGGGCACGCCGCUUCUGGGCAUGCUUCAGCCGCUCCUGGGUGCUCAUCUUGCCCACCAUGGGCAUCUCUGCCAGUAGUUCCAGGUGCUCAGCCAUGGUCGGGGGUGUCUACCCACAGGGCUGCUUGGGGUACCACAGUGCAGGGGAUGGGGGUCAGACCAGGCUUGAGUGGCAGAGCAGCUGGCUGGACUGACACCUCUGAGGGCAUUCCCUUCCUGAGGCUUGUGCCCUUGGCCCCUGGCGAGGCUGUGAUCAGGCCCAGGCAGCCCUGAGGGGCACAGCCCAAGAAGGAAGGGCGUGUAAGGAUACCACAGCUGGUCCCACGCAGGCCUGGCCCCUUGGUUGCUCAGAUAGCAGGGUCUCUACACAGGCAGCACCUCACUUCCCUUUUGAGAUCAGGGUACACCUAUUGUGGGACGUAGCCCUAAGACCUGGCUGGACUCAGUCCAGGGUCUGAAGCUAAUUACCCAGAUAACAAAGCUCUAGCUUCCUGGUACCUUGCCAAGGGAGAGGGAGGGCAGGGCCAAUCCACAGUGGGCCCUGAGAGCCCCUUGGAGCUUCUGCUCUUUCUAGGCCUCAGGAGCCUGGCUGGGGUCAAGGAGCAGUCAUGGCCUGGCCCUGCCUGCACCCUCCUGAUGGUGCUCCAGUCGGCACAGCAGGACCAAUGAGGUGGGCCACAUAAGGUCAGCCCUAGGCAGCCAGGGUACAGAGGACACAAGGCGCCUGUCAGUGUGUCUUCAGGGGAGCCUCCCCUUUUGGCAGCCACAUACACCUGAAGAGCAAAUAAGGAAGCACAUCAAGGCCAGCUCAGAGGGUGGGGCAGAGAGGCUCUGGUGAGACCACUCCCGGCCACCCUGGGGUCCUGCCUUGUGUGGGGCCACCUUCUACCUGUGGAACACAGUGCAGGGCAAUGAUCCUUGGGGGGCUGCUCAGCUCUCACACUUAGGAAAGGCAGGAUGAAGGGCACCUCAGGCUCCCUACCCACCCUCUGCAGGAUGCCCAGGCACACCGCUGGGAGCAGAGUCAGGAGCACUGCCCACAGGCAGCCAUCCCUGUGUGCUGUGUGGGCAAAGUCUGCCCUGAGUCCCUGCUUCACGCCCUGCCUCCUUGAUCUUGGCCAGUGAUGAGCUCCCCAGCCCCUCACUCUACCAAAUGCUCCUGCUCCUUGCCAGGCUCCCUGACCGGGCCAGCCAACACUCCAACCACCCUGGGAACCUGGGCUGUAUGGUUACAGGCACAGGUGACCGACCUGGCUGGAGGUCUACAGGGACCAACAGGCAAACAGCUUAGGCUGUAAGCUGAGAGGUACAACCUUGCUGGAGUGCCCAUCUUGGCCCCUUUCCUCGCAAGCCAUGGUCACCCACUGCUCUGUUCCUCAGAAGGAACAGUCACACACUGCCCAGAAUCCUAUUCUCCACACAGCCAGGCCUCUCGGCAACCUAGACACUAACCCCAUUUCCCCCUAGCCAAGGGUCUCAACAAACACCCCUUUUGCCUUGAAGGGGACUGCGACGCCAGAUGCCGCUAGGCUGGCCAGGUCCCUUCUGACAGGUCUGACCUGGUAGAGUUAGCCCCUGUGAGCUUGGUCUGAGUUUCCUAGGGGCAGAACCAGUAGGGCCCUUAGCCCUGGACUGGUGUGCUCUCCGUAGGUCAAGAGGUUUCCCAACAGAACUCUGCUGUGAGCAGCCUGCUCCAAAGUUGGCCACCACUGCAGACUGCUAGGGCCAGGGCUGACGUAAACCAGCCCAACACCCUGCCCAGACUCCCCAGUCCUGCUGUCACCCUCUCAGGUCCAUCAUCCCUACUCAAGACAACCAGGCUGGGUUCUGCAGGUACCCUGCUAGCUCCUCCAGCAUAAGGACAAGGAUUCCAGACCCUGCCAUGUGACAGAGUCCUCCCUGCUGCCACCCAUGGUAGAUAUCCUCCUCCCCAACAGGGCUGACAAGGUGGGACCUGCAUCUCUCUGUCAUCAGGAUUCUGUCAGGGAAGUGGCCCCAGUCUGCCCCAAGAGGUCACAGCAAAGAGGGAGGCCCACUGCCCUGCCUGCCCCAUCUCUGUCCAAUGAAGGUAAAGAAAAUGAUACAAGACCACCUGAUCAAAUAGCCACACCCACCCCAUCACUGGGUAGAAAGAUAUAUAUAUAUAUUUUUUUGCACUGGCAAAAUUGAACCCAGGGGUGCUUAACCACUGAGCCACAUCCCCAGCCCUUUUCAUGUUUUAUUUUGAGACAAAAUCUUGCUAAAUUACUUAGGGCUUCACUAAGUUGCUGAGGCUGGCUUUGAAAUUGCAAUUCUCCUGCCUCAGCCUACCAAGCUGCUGGGAUUACAGGCAUGUGCCACCAAGCCUGGCUGAUAUAAAGAUGUCUGAUGCUUUUGUCCUACAGAAGAAAAAUAAUCUGAGGACAGCAACCACUUUCUCUUGUGUGUGUGUGUAUUGGACUAGGGACUGAACCCAGGGGCUCUCUAACACUGAGCUGUACCCCAAUCCUUUAAAUAAAUAAGUAAAUAAAUAUUUA